This 15743-nucleotide long non-coding RNA is filed under the name Olea europaea subsp. europaea. The stretch from base 11581 to 11666 matches the Rfam family "Small nucleolar RNA R44/J54/Z268 family". Lineage: Eukaryota; Viridiplantae; Streptophyta; Magnoliopsida; Lamiales; Oleaceae. The record is from RNAcentral.
GAAAUAUAUAAUUUUACCAGACACCCUUCCAUAUUUUUAAAAUCAAUUUUCAAUUCACCAAACAAGAACAAGAGGGUACUAGUGGCUGAGGGUUUAUUGUGUAGCCGAGAUUACCACUUGUUCAUCACCAAAGUUUGAAGGAAGUAUCGGAUUUAUUUAUGUUGAUUUCGCACUCGAUUCGAUGGUUCUAAACGAUUUAGUCUUACACGAGCUGUCAUGAAUCUUGAUGGAACUGGUACUCUGCCUUCAAAUUUGGCCGUAUCUGGGAACAGAAAUAACAGUUGCAGAAAUUUGGGAUUUUUAGAAGAGUGAAGUUGGGUGGACGCUUUUGGGAUUUGGUGGUCUUCUUGGUUAUAGUGGUUUUCCACAUCGUAGUUAUUUUAUUAUUUACCCGAUCUAAUCUCCUUCUCAAUCGGACCAAACUUUCCCAAUAUAGUCGAUGAUCUGAUGUUUUCGAGUCUCCUUGUUUCCUACUUAUGAUCACAAUGUUAACAACAACAGUGGAGCACCAGGUUACAUGACGAAACCUACAGUCAAUGGGCUUGUUAUAAUUGUUCUUGAUAUUCGUAGGUAUUCUUUAUAUUGCUUUCUGGAGAAGUCAAUUUAGCCUGAUUAAUCACUUAAAUCAAAAAUCUUUUACUAUAAAAAAUAUCCAUACCACAUUUUAAAAAUCCUGAUUUAUAGGUUUGACUUUGUUGCUCCAAGUACCUUCUUUGUAGGCAAGGACUUUGACUUCAUUGUCAAUCAGUUUGCUUUUGCAUUUUCACCAUGUCCCGUGAUAUGCAUUUUCCUACAUAACUGUGUUUUUUGAAUGUUCUAUAUUCGACUAGCUUUGUCAAACCAUUUACCAUUUAUUCCAUUUUUAUCGAUUAUAAUUUCCAGAAGUGAAACCAUGGAUGGAUAAGCUACAAGUAGUACACGAACUUUAUGCAGUUUACAUUGUCUAAAUGUGAUCUUAUGUUUUAUCUUUUUUAUUUUUGAAAUGUUAUUAAGGGACAUGAGGGUCUUUCUUGAGUUGGUUGUCAUUCUAUUCACUCAUUAGACUACACAAAGUUGCGUUGCUGCCCGUGUUUUAUGGUUCAGUUUUUGUACACUUAAUUGGAUAUUAGAUAUUUGAGGAAUUUUAAAUUAAACUUCGUACAAUGUGCAAACUGCAAAAUAGCCUUACAUUUUGAUUCUUUGUUCAAAAGGCCCUUGUUUUGUGUAAAUAUCUUAACUAUCCAUACUAGAAGUGACACUAAUUGAGUCACAUUGACCCUAACCCAUUAAAAUCUACUCAAUUUGGUCUAUACUAACCCCAUAACAGGUCGAAAUAAACACCUGUUUGCUACCUCAAUCAAUACAAAUCAACAUAUUUCUAUUAGUACUUCCUAUCAACCUGCAUUGAAGGUUAAAAUUUUAGUUUCAUCAUUAAUCAGUCAUUCUUGUGUUGUCAGGGUGCAGAAAUUUAAUGAUAUCUUCUAAUUGUUGUGCUAAUGAAAAUAUCUACUUUUCACUCCUGAACUUUUGCCCUUCUAAAGUAUUGUUUAACUUGUUAGGAUGAGAAUUUACUAUUCAAAACCAAUCACCCUACAAGUUGGCAAAGAAAAGAAAGAAACACGAAGUUGUUCAUAUGUAAUUUCAGAUACUCAAGUAGCAUGUUUGCAUUAGUGAGAUCUUCCAUCCUAUCUAUCGUGAACACAACUUUGAAAAUUUAAGAAACGCAUAGAAGUCAUAUUUUUUAUUAUAGCCAUGCAUUCUACGUUGAGGUGCUACAACUUUGUCGUGAGCAAAAGUUCAUUCUCAAACAUUUAAAUUCACCGAGAAGUUCAUGCUCAUGAAACAAUGAUGUGUUUUUAACUUAAUCUUCUAUUUAAAUAUCUGAAUAAGAGUUCAUUUCCUAUGAUUUCGCUCUCCCUUGAGAUCUUUAUGGCCUUUUUUGUCAGGUGGAUGGCAGGUACAUUAAGAACUUGCUUCCAACCCUGUACAGAGAGUAUGUGCUCAUAGCACACUUUCUUGGUGUGGUAUGAUUUAUGUUUAUUUCCCUUAUUUUGGUUGCCAAUGUAUUAGAAGCUAGUUUAUUUUUCCCCACAUAUGGGAGAAGAGAUGUGAAUAACUAACCAAUAAACUUGACAAAAUUCAAUCAUAAUGAGAAAAACUAAAGCUUCAAGAAAGCGAUAUUGCUUCAUGGCGAAAGUAACUAGAAAAUAAAAUUUCAUUUUUCAUGAUUGAGUGUAAUUCGAACCAUUUAAAACAAAAUGUAUAAGAAAAACCCCUUCUGAUAAGGUGCUAUGAUAGAGUGAAUAGUAUCUGAUAGGUGUAACAGUGGGGCAUUAUUGAGAACUGUACAUAGAAUCAAUUAAAUUAGGUAGCAUGGCGUCUCUUACGUGGCUAGUUUUCUAAUAGUUGAAGUGUCCAUCCCUCGAACAUCCAUGAACAGUGGUGCUAAGCUCAAAUGAGAUUAUAGUCUAAUAAAAUAAUAAUUGCGUGGUGGAGUCUCGAAUUUCAUAUAUUUAGGCAAGGUAUCCCACGAUACCAUCCUCUCUGUAAAGAAUGAGAAAAUAAUUCUUGAACAUGCGAAUAAAAUCCUUAAACAAUCACUUAUUUAAUCCAUAAAAGUUUUUAAAAGGAAAAGAAAAUUUUGACACAACAUAUUAAAUCUUAAAAUCUUCACAACCAAAAUAAUUUGAUCAUCAAAACAUAAAUUAAUCGUAACAUAACUUUAUUAAAAUGUUUUAUUAUCUACCACUGCGUGCUCGCCCAAUCUUCAUCCAUCUCAAACACAGUUAAUUAUUACCUAAAAUUUUUUUUUAUUCAUAUGAGAUGAUGAUCUCAAUAAGUGAAAUAGCAUGACAUGAAUAAUAAAAGUCCAUGAGAUUCGUGAACAUACUUGAUGAGACACGAAAUUAAUAAAACCGAACUUCGUGGUUCUAAUUUUGUGCGUAGCGCUAACUCCAUGAUUUCAUAACAUAAUCAUAAUAUCGACUUCUAUAAUUUAAACAAUGAAAAUACAUGUAUUUCACUUAUCUCGAAUUUGAAGAUCCUAUUAUAACGUAGGAGAAUUCUUGAAAAAAUAUUCGUGUGUGUGUUUUCCUUUUUCUUUUUCUCUUUUUUUUUUUGGAAUAUAUAUAUUCUUAAUUAAUCAUUUUAAUUACGAUAAUUAACAUAUACGUUUUGGUAAGAUUGAAUAAGAAAAGGAAAGUCUCCUUAAUUGAAUCAUUCACUUAUGGUAGUUAACAUAUAUGUACAUAAUAUAUAUGGUAAUUACCUUUUCGGUUUUUGGUAUAAUUAAAUAAAAAGGAAAGUUUCCUUAAUUAUUUCUUUUAAUUAUCGUAGUUAACAUAUACGUACAUAUUAUAUAUGGUAAUUACCUAAAUUUGCAUUUAUUCCUUACCAUAAUAAAAACAUAAUUAUUUCUUACCAUGUACAUGGAUGCUACAUAUAUAUGCUAUAGUCCCUCAACUAUGGACGGGUAUAAAACUUGACUCUAAACUUUCACAGAUAUGCAAUACGAUCCCUAAAUUAUAAUUGAUGUGUAAUUUGUCCCCGAACCUUAGUCUCUAUAUAAAUUGGUCCUUAAACUAUGGUUAUUGAGCAAUUUGAUCCCUAUGCUUAUGUUAAUGACAUGUAGAGAAUUUUAAGUUAUUGUACUCUCACUAGUCUAUGCCUCCAAGGAAGACUUUCAUUAUGUUCAGCUUUCAAAUUCUUUGCUUUGCAAAUGAAAUAUCUUUGAGGACUACCGCACACAAUGGGCUGAUAACCAAGUUGAUUUCAUCACUUGACAAUCACAUGAGAGCUCAGAUUUUAUUAUGCUUUAUGCUAAGUCCGGACAUGAUAUCCUAUAAAAUGAUUAUCUGCUGCUAAUUUCUGAAAAUUUCAUGCAUCCCUUGGGUCAUUGCCAUGUAGAUGUUAUGAUUCUUGAGUCAUGUUCCUGUUACAUAUUCCUAAAAGCUAGCAUUUCAUCCAGCAAAUUUAUAACUGGCAGUAAAGUACGGUGGACUCAAGAUUCAGAUAUGUUGGAUGAGAUAUCCUACUACAUGAUUCCUUCUACUGCACUAUACUUGUGUGUGUGUUGAUUUUGUCAUUUAGCUAAAGGUCUAUCUAACAACAUAUAAACUAAACAUUUGUUUAUCGAAUGUUGUAACUGAAAAUCUUUAAACAAUUUACAUAUUUUAUAUGGUCCAAGAUCAUGCUUGGUAAAUAUUUGGCAUUGAUUCUUCACUAAUGAUUAGAUAAAUUGGAACAAUAUAAUGGAAGUCCAAAGUAAGCCUAUUAAUCUUCUCAUGUAUGAUUUUGUGGAGUUACUAAAGAUGGGAUAUAAAACUUACAUAUACCCCAUUUUCUUUAUUUCACAUGUCUUUUUGUGAUGCUUGACACUGUUUAGGAUACCAUAUAGUAAUGUUGCCAUUUUGGGAAAAAAUAUGAGGCUUUUAGCAAGGAGGUUGUUGGUAGCUUGAGAUUUGAUAACAUUAAGUAAAAGUAGAGAUGGUUCAGGACAAAAAAAUCUUUGGAACUGUAAGGAAGGGAAAUAGCUCUGGAGAUUUCCCUGGGAACAAUCUUACCUAUGAAAAGUAGGGUGGCCAGUGGGAAGUAUGGGUUCGGGCCACAAUGGUUGAGAUCCAAACAAAUUAUAAGACAUUCCCUUAGAAAACUUUGGAAGUAAAUAACUUAUGGAUUUUAUUCAUUUACUAAUUGUGUGAAAUGUGAUGUGGGUAUGGUGUCUGAGAGGAAAGUGGAUUGAUUCUUGUUCCCUUGCUGCUUCAAUUUCUAGGUUUUAUAGUCUCUCAUUUUUAAAAAUGCGUUAAUAACUUUUGUUGGUUCACUUUCUAAAUAGGGGACAAUAAAUAAAACUUUUUGCAAGUUUCUAGUUUUCUUAUUACACUUACGUUUCUACCUCUACUGCAUUAUCAAGGUUGGUAAUAUCUAAGUCAUUUGGAACGUCUUUUUCAAUCGUGUCAUCCGCUGAGUAAAUUGUUUGCUCUGUCUGUGUUUAGAGUGAUAUUGGCAAAUAGUUUCUUAAGUGGCAACAAAUAAUCUUCUUAUUGGACCACUACCAAACACAUAAUUGUUAUCUUUGGCUAUGUAUGUAGCAUCUACAUCACAGUAUCAUGAUUUUGCCGAUGUUCGUGACAACCAUUCAUUUUUAUCACAUUUACAAUCUCAUCUUUAAUUAUUUUUCAAUAAAAAGUAGAAUUUUACAUACCUCCUUAUUAUAUUUUUCGCUCCCUUUAACUAAUGCUUUAGGUACCAUGUUCUCACCACUUCUGUGAUCUAUGAUAACAUUGCAUGCUUUGUUAUUGUGGUGCAUCAUUUUCUAAAAAUCUUAUCGUGCAUCAAAUUGAGCUUAUUUAUAUCUCCACAUAUAGACAUUUGAGACAUCCUCGAUAACUUGCCAUGUGACAUUGUAGCUCAUUAACGCUACUUUUUGGGGGAGGGGUGGGGGGGGAAGAGGAAUGUUAUUAUGUGGAAUUGAAUUGCAUUAUAACAUUCUAUUGUGUGCAAAAGAAGAUUGUUGCCGAAAAUUAUAAUAUCGUAUUGAAGUAAAUUGAGCCAUAUGUGAUGGUUUGAUGGACAUAUAUUAUUAUGUUGGAGAAACUAUGAUUGUACAUGGGAUGGCUUGAUCAAUGAAAAUCAUUGUUUUGUAGUAAGCUAUAGUGGUGACUGGUGAGCAUUUGAACUUAGUUAGGACUCGAGGUAAAUCUUUAGCUACAUGUUGAUAUCAUUUUAAUAAUACCCAGCUAUAAGUGCAAUUAAUUUGGUAUUAAUAUACCCAUAAAAAAAGAUGUGGAACCAAUAUAUCUAAAAGCAUAAGUCAUUGGAGAAUGUAUAUAUUUACUUAUUCAACAUGCCCCCUCAAGUGCAUGAAGAAUUAAUUUCUCAUCUGAGGCCCAAGACGAGCACAAUUUAAAAAAAUGUGCCAUUUUGUUUUGAAAUUAGGACCCUUGCUUGUACUAUAUGAACCACUUCAUCUAAAAGUAAGCUCUUAGAGAAGAAUAAAUUUUUUAUUCAAAUUUAAUUUUUAUCAAAAGAAAGAAAGUACUCAAAAUGAUUUUUCCACUGGCUAUUAACAAAAAGACUUAUAUGCACUUAGGCACCUAGUGGGUUUAGAACGCAAAUUGGUUGUGUUCAAUGAAAAAUAAACGCACUAGGAUGCAAAUCUCCAUGCAAUGAUCACCCUAAACCCUAGUUUCACAAAAUGACAACGCGUUGAAUUUUGACGAAUCAAUGCUCUUAAAUCUAUCCAAAACUCUCUCUCGAGAUGUAUUGAACCUAUUCUUAUACACCACCGGCCUUUUGACAUGUAUUUUAGGUAGUUGUACCCCACUUCGAGUUGUAAUUACCUUAGCGUGCUCCUUGGGGAUAAUUUCUGUGUUACUUGGCAAAUUACCCGGUGCUCUACCAGUCAAUGCAAUGGCUAGCUGUCCCAACAGAGUCUCCAAAUUUUUGAUGGUGGCAUUUUAGUUUUGAAGAGUGGCUUCGGCUUUUUCCAUGAAUUUCCCUAAUAUCUCUUCCAAUUGAGGCCUCUUCUCUUGCUAUUGAAACUGUCCCUAUGGCAUAUUCUGAUUCUGGUUGCUCCAAGAGAAAUUGGGAUGCUUCUUCCAAUUGGGAUUGUAUGUUUUCCCAUACAAAUUGUUCUGUUGGCAUUGUCCCCACUGUGCAUAGUCUACCCGCUCAAUUUCUUGCAUUAAGAUUGGGCAUUCUGUAGUUUUAUGCUCAGCUCCACAUUCCUCACAGUUGCGCUUCUUAACUUGUGCUGCCUGUGAUAUGCUUUCCACCUUGUGAUACAGGUAGUCGAUCUUUGUAGAUAUAUCCGAAUAAGUAUCUAUCUCGUGGACCCCCAGAGUCUUCCUUAGGAUCACCCUCUCAGAAGACCACAUGGCUGAAGUGGUAGCCACUCUCUAGAAUAAUUCCAAUGCCCCAUCAACUGUUCGUGUGGGUAUUGAGCCAUUUGAUGCUGAAUCCAUCAUGCUUUUGUGGUACGGAAAUAACCCUAUAUAGAGGAAUCGAAUUUAGGUCUUUUUGUCAAACCCAUGUUGAGGGCACUUCUGGAGUAUGUUUUUAAAUCUAUUCUAGGCUUCCUCAAAUGAUUCAGAUUCUCCUUUAAUGAAUGUUGAUAUAUCAAGUCUCAGUUUUGCUAUCUUGGCUGGCGAGAAGAACUUCGUGCAGAAUUUAUGAGCCAACUCGUUCCAAGCACUAAUGCUUGUAAGAGAAAGUGAAUGCAACCAUUCAAGUGCCCUAUUCCAUAGUAUAUGUGGAAAUAACCUUAGCCUAAUAGCAUCAUCCGAAAUUUCUUGAUACCUGAAGUGUUGACACAUAUCCAAGAAUCGAAAUAUGUAUGUAUUUGGAUUUUCUUCGGCUCUUCCAUAAAAUUGGUGUCCAUUCUGGAGCAGCUGUAUCACAUUAGUCUUCAAUUGAAAAUUAGGUUGCCCAAACGGUGGAUACACUAUGCUGGAUUGGCUUUGAAUUACUUGAGGAGUCAAGAAAUCUCCCAAAAUCUCAUUUUCUUCGUCUACCGCCUCUCCUUCAUUGGCUGGGACAAUAGGGUUGUUCGGUUCAUUAGCCAUUUGUAACUAUGCCUCUCUAGCCUAUCUUUGUGGUUGAUGAAAGGUGCACUUAAUUUCAGGAUCAUUCGAUCUUAGCAUGCAACUCUGCGAGAAAACCUGUAGCAGUACUCAGAUUCAAACAAUUGAAUAUCUAAAGAGAAUAAAAUAAAAUAGGCUAAAAAAAUUUUGGAAAAUAAAAACAAAAAUUAAAAAUUAAAGUUCUAAUUAGAGCCUAAAAAAUAAAAUCAAACUAAUACUCAAUCCCCGGUAGCGGCGCCAAAAACUUGUUCACGAAAUUAUUCUUUUGAUUUGAUCCGCAAGUGUACGGUUCGUAACAAGUAAUAAAGUGAAUUUUAGAGUCCGAAUGUCGUCCCACAGAGAUAGAGUAACUUAAUUUUAUAUAUCUCACCCUUAACCGAAAACCAAAUUAUCUAACAAGAUCAAUGUGACUUGAUUAAUCCUAACCUAAAUUAAAUGUGCUAUUGCAUGUGAAUUUAAUGAUUUAAAAUGCAAAGUUUCAUUUUAAAUGCAAGAUUGAUGUAAUUAAUGAAUGUAAAGUGGACUAGGAUCACGAAUCCCCAAGCAAUGCUCAAUUUAACCUUAGUUCUAUAAUUUGACAACACGUUGAAAUUAUGAAGAAUCAAUGUCCCUAUAUCUUUCCAACAAUCUCUCUCGAGCAAAAUUGAACCCACUCUCAUAUAUCACCGGCCUAUAUCUCCAUGACAGGUGCAAAUAUACAAGAAUACAUGUAGUUUUGUGUGCACUUAAAGAUUUACGCAGAGCAUAGCGGUAUAUCCCUAUCCCCUAUCGGACCCUACAAUUGCAUUGUCGAACCUAUUCCCCUUCUCUCGAAUGCAAGAAAUAGAUUACCACACACAAUUACAGGCCCAAUAAUUAUGGAAGAAAUUAAAUGCAUAUAAACCAUUCAAAAUAAUCAAACGUGUUUUAAUGUCAAAAAUAUGAAACAAGGAAUUAAGAAUCACAUUACAAAGUUCAUCAUCUCCUAGCAUAUAAAAAUCUAGCCUAACAUGGUGGGAAGAAGAAAGCAAAUUAAAUAAUGAAGAAAAACAUCACCACUUUAAAUCUUGAAUUGAAUCCUUGCAUCUUGAUGUCAAUCUCCUCGUUUUUGCCUUGUUCUCCUCUCUAAAAACCCUUAUGAAUGUGUUAUAAUGCGUGGUGUAUGUUUUUUGAAGUCCCUAGAGCUUUAAAAGACUUUCCAAAAUUUGUUUUCAUAAGAAUUUCAAUCAGAAAAGGAAACCAGAUUUUUCUCACCGCGAUUGACCUAGGUGCAAAACCCGGGCAGUCACCCAUGCAUGGAUUUUUGCCUCGGUAAUUAAAUUUUGAAUUUAUAACUGGGAUGUCGCUCAGUUAUAAAAAAACUCCCGAAUGUUACAUUUUAGCCCCCGAAGUCGAUUCUUGAUUCUUUCAAGUCCGUUCUCUUGCGUUUUCAACCCUUUCACUUUUAAUUGCAUCCAGUUGAACCUAAAACAUCUUUAAUCUUCAUUUUGUGAUCCGAAUCAACUAUUGAAAUGUUACAAUUUAGUCCUUAUACUUUGGAUUUUCCCCUUUUUCUUUUCGAAUUCCUUAGAAAUCGGUCUAUCACUGAAAUAAACGGAAAAUUACCCAAGUUAAGUAACAAUCAACACUUUCAUGACAUAAAAAACUUAGUAAUACAGUCUAUAUAAGUGCACAAAAUGCACUUAUCAGAAAUUCUCAAAGUAUAUCAUUUCUGUUUUUUUAUAUAUGAUCUGUUGAUUUGUUCUUACAUUUUUUUUUUUUUUGAAAUAAAUGUUGGAACAAAAAAUGGUGAUGAUUAAUCUUUGUUGCCUGAGUUUCUAUGUUGGAUAUGCACACACUUGCAUUUGAUUUUUUUUUUUCCUAGGAAAAUUGUUAUUGAGCUUGGGCAAUUAUCCUAGAAAAAUAAUCCUUCAAGAACACUAGGAGUCAACAAGGUCUCUUAAUUUUGGAUGUUAAUAACUCAAUUUGUUCCAAUGCUAGCUCUUUUGAUUGUGGCAUAUCUAUACAAGUGUUUAUGCUCCUGUCAUGGGAUCUUGAAGUAUGUUAUUGUAGGAAAAUUAUUUUAUUUCAUGCUCAUAACCAUAUAUUGGGCCUCCAUUAUUAACGUAUCGAAUUUCCCAAUGGUUCUGAUUAAGGCCAGUUUUAUUCCUCGAAUCAUUUAUAUUGUUGGAGUUGUUUAGGAGUAAUUAUUAUCCAUAAUUAAUUUUUGGUAAGAUAGCUAUGACUUUGGAAGAAAGUAAAAUUUUCAAGUAUAGACCCAGUUAUCUGCAUGGAGUUCGAGAUCAUAGUUCUAUCUGGAAAAGAAGGUCCAGUUGGCUUUCUUUUAUUAAAUAUUGGAGAUGCUUGCUAUUAGUCUUAUUGUAACUUUUCUAUCUUUAUAAUUAAGUUGAGCCAAUUUAAUGGUUAACUUGCAAUUACGUUUGCAUUUCCUGUAAAUAUGUUGGUGCAUAAUAUUAUGGAUUUUAAUUUGGAUUUUAUACACAUCCUGUAACACAGUGGAGCCUCCUCGCUGCAUGUAUGUCUUUCAAUAUGGGGUCACUGGUAACAUAUUUUGCCUCUUCCUAUGUUUGAGCAUACUGAUAUUGAUUAUCCAUUGUGAUAAUCUCAUUCAUUACCAAAUUACAACUUGGUUGCAAAUUUUGUGUUUUUCCCCCCUCUCCUUCCUUUACCUUUGAGGUCAUGCUGGUUUCACUUAAAAAUCACUUCAUGCAGGUGUGCUUUUGAUGGCCUUGGGGAGAGCAUAUAUUUUCUGUAAAUGACCUUUCCCCAUCUUGAAUUGGAAGGACUUGUUUAAUUGUGCAUAUAUUGGGUGUCCAUUCUUUUUCGAAUUCGUAUUCUAUACAAUACAAACUUAUAAGAGUGAACGUCUAUACAGUGUUCAUAUUUUCAUCCAAUACGACGUCAUUUUGAUGACAUCACCGUGACCCUUUUUACUUGUAUCUCAUUACGACAUCGUUUUACUAAUUCUAACUAAAAAAUAAUGUCACUUUGGUCUUUGACACAGUCAUCUCUUUGCCCUUUUUCAAUUCAAGUGCCUUUGAAUCUGACAUAAUUUGCCCUUCCGUAAUCUUUCUCCAUCUUCCCACGCUACCAACCAUGCCUCUUUAUACCUCUAUUCCCCCCCCCCCCCNNNNCCCCAUACAACCACCCCUCCUUUCUUCUUCCCUCUUUUCUACUUGUUCUCUCCCACAGUUUCUCUCUAAAUGCUGAUAAUUUCGCCAAAUCAUUCCACAAAACUGGAUUUUCUGUUUUUAUUUAAUACUCAUUAUUUGAACCUUGGUCUUUCCAAUGAUUCUUCCUCUGCUUUGUAGGUUUUCUUCCUUGUUUCGGCAGAUGCCAGCUUUGAUACUUUUGGUAACAGUUCGGCUUUAGAUAAAUUUUUAUUGAUUUCACUAAUUGGAUUUCGUAUAAGAACUUUUGAUGGUUCGAUGGAGUUUUUCCUUCUGUGUAGAUUCUUGUGUCUUUGAAAAAAAAAUCGUAUUUCUCGUUUAUCUCUUGGAUCGUAACUUGAAGUGAUGUGAUUUCAUAGUCCGAUUAAAGAAUCUGGGUUUCUGGUAUUUUCUUGAAACUAGUUAUUUUGAAUCUAAGGUCUUCAUUCACUGUUUUGUGGCUUUCUUCUUGGCCCAAUUUCUUACACAAAUACAGUCCAUUCUGUGUACACAAUUCCAGAUCACAGACAUUGUUGUAACUAGGUAAUAUUUGCUUCGUGGUUGUCAAUAUAAUUGUUGAUUAUUUCACAUUUUUAGUUUCAAUUCAGCUUCCCUUUAAUCAUGGCUCUAUUUAAUUAUUUAUGCAUUGUUCCUUUUUUAAUUUCAUUACUUGGCUCUUAAGAUAGGUUAUUGCUUGUUUGACUAAAAUCAUACUUUAAAUAAGCCUCUGCAUCACCAGGUAAAGAUAUGAAUUCGUGGUUUCGAGACAUUAAACAUUAUUUUAUUCUAUAUUAUUUUAUUUUUUUUGUAAAUUUUUUAGUUUGAUUUUGUUAUCUAAGCUAAAAUUCAGUAGUGAAUAAUGUGUUUUCCUUAAUUUAAGUCAAUUUGUCAAUGCAAGUGACGAUAAAACAGAUAGUGACUUCAGAACUCUUUUUAGAGUAUGAUGAUUUGUCGAUGGGAAUCUCUCCAAUGCAUUAGCUAAAUUUUAAUUUAAUUUAUUUUUUUCUUUGCCUUUACAAUUAGUUCUAGAGUAAAAUAAAUAAAAAUAGAUCCGAUUGUUUCCUUUUACAAAAUUUGAGAAUUUUUUCAUAAAGAAUGUGAAGGGUUUACCAGUGAUUUAUUGCAUGAUUAUGAGGUUAAACUACGAUUAUAUAUGUUUAUGAGUCAUCGCAGCUGAGACUAUAAUAUUUUUCCCAGUUACGUCAAAAAGAUUUUAUACUUUUAUUGAAUUCAUUACUUUGAUUUUUAUUUAUUUAUUUCAUUUUUGAUCUUUUAAAAAGAUAACAUGUCGCAUAUCAUGCAAUAAUUCAGCCUCGUGCUCUUCCAGCUUGUGUUUUGUUCGGUUUGAUUUUUCUGAAUCAGCACCAGCAGCAAUUAUAAUUCGGUCAAGAAAUUGUAAACAGUUGAUAUAUUUCAUGAAUUUAAGUUUCUGGUUUGCCUGUGAUGCAUUUCCUAUUACACAUUAUCAGAGAUUAAUGAUGAUGAUGAUGAUACGAAAUUGUCACUACCUCUGAGCAAUUUACCAUGAAUUAUUAUCUAGAUUAUUUUAUAAAUUGUUGCACUUCCCAAGUUAUAUAUAUAUAUAUAUAUUAUUUUAUUUUAUUUUUUGCUUGUGUACCAAUGUUUGGACUAAUGUGGUUUUCCAUGCUUUCUCCAUUUGCAAAUCUACUUGAUGUAAUCUUUGUUGGUAGCUUUUUGAGUGAAAAUUGUUUAUAUUCAAGUUAUCUACCUUGUCUAAUCUUACAAGUUUGUUUCAUUUUACCAAUACUAGGUAAUCUGUGUGUUUUAUCAACGAAAACCUGUGGACCAUCCUUUUUGCUCAUUUGGUCCAAGACGGCACCAUCAGCCGCGAGACACAGUUCGGUGAGGUCAAUUUUUGUAUUUCGCUGAUUUUCUCUAUAUUAUUAUUAUUAAUUUUUUUUUUACAUGUGUGGAUUUUGCUCUUUAUUUUUUAUUUCAAUUUUUGGAUAUGUUAGGAAUUUGUUAUUUGAUUUUUAUUUUUUUUUAAAUUAAAGUUUUCUGUUUUUACUACAAUCUUCUCAAGGAAGAAUAAAUACUUUACUUUUGAUUCUUGAGGUUUCCUAGUCAUAUUUGAAUAAGGCCUAAUGUAUUUGUGAUGUAAGAAUAUCUCCAAGAGACUCUUUAAACUUGAAAUGUUCUCUAUUUUGAAGGGUCAAUCUCUUAAAUCAUGCUCCAAAAGACUCUUUAAUUUAACAUUUUUAUUUAGAGAAUUUGGAUAGCAAAACUCACUCUCUAUAAUUAAAUGCAUUCAAAUUAUUUCAAUUUUCAAUAUAAGAAAAUAAUAUAAUAAUUUAGAGAAAAGCUAGUUAAAAUAAAAGGUAGAGAAAAAUAAUAUAUAUUCUUUGGGAGUACUAAAAUUAAGUGUUAGAUAUAAAGAGCCUAUUGGAGUAUUUCAAAAAUUUUACUCUUUAAAUUUAUAGAUGUUCUCUAAAUAAUGGAAUAUCCUCUUUAAAAAUAGAGAUUGUCUUGGCGGUGCUGCAAAUAGAGGGGGGUCAUAAAUCGAUUGAUGGGCUUCAAGGGGCAGUUCUAGAGGUAAGUGCAUUACCUUGUUAUUUCUUCCGAUUUCUUGAACAUGGUUUGUUGCUCAUUGUCAUUUUAUAUUGCUGAAUAUUUGUUCUUUUGUGACUUGGUUUUGGAAUCAAUGCUCUUUUUGUUAUUAGUAUAUUUUAUUGGUCUUGUGGGGUUGUCUUAAAUUUCUUUUUUUUAAUCUCAUUUUUGCUCUUUAAACUUUCUUGAUAACAUUUGCUGUUUUUGUCUUGUGAGGUAGUCUUAGAUUAAAUUUAUGAUCUGGGUGGUGUUUGACAUUUGCUUGUUUAUGUGAUUUAAGCUGUCAAAAAUUUUAUUGUCUGUGGAAGUUGGAAGGAGGACUGCAGUGCUUGGGGUUGGAUGGAGAAAAACUCUGUUUCAUUUCAUGUAAGCAAAACUUAAUUUUCUGCCUUGGUAGCUGUUAAAAAGUUCAGUUUAUUGGAAGGAAAGAAAUCAAGAUCAAGAAAACAGCCUAUUGCUGAUGGCUCUGCGCACUUUGCAUUGGAUUCCGGGAAGAGUUCUAUUCCUACUGAACUCUCCUCUAUUAUAUUGGUAAGAUUUUUGUCUGUAUCUUCACUGUGAUUGUGACUGUCACUGUUAUUUUCAUUGUCUUCUCCCUUCUCUUCACCUUCACUCAUUUGCAUAAUUGGAUCAUAUUUUGAUGUAUCAAUCCUUGUGCAAACUGUUUAUGAAGCUUCGCCAAUUUCUGUUUCAGUGUUUUCAAAUUCUCUCUCUUUGCAGACCACUAAUUCCAAUUUGCUAUUUUCUUUCAUCUCCUAAUUAGUAGAAGUUCCCUCGUUUGUUACUUCGACUCCAAUAGCUCCUGACAUUGUCUUUUCUUUUUUUCUUUUUUCAUCUUUUUCAUCUUUUUCAUUUGUGAACAGUGCCAGUUACUCUAUAUAAUUUUUUGUCCACCUACAGAAGAUAGUAUCCCAUGAGGAAAAAGUUCGGUAAUUUUUUUUUUUGUGAAUCUAUCUUAUUGAUUUAACGCCCUGAAAAUGUAUCACUUUGUAGAAUGUAGUCUUCAGGUCUUGGCGGCAUACAACCCACUUGUAAGUGCUUCAUUUUCUUCAUUUCAACCUUUCUAUGUUAUGAGAGUUGUGAAAUUCUAUUACUAUGCACUAACUGCAAAGAGUCAUGUUUAUAUAAUGCAUAAUAUGAUGAAUGACUGCAAUUCUUAAAAUCUACAAUCAAUAACAUUAACCAGAAGAGAUCUCAAGGAUACGUGGUCUCAUUAAGUGAAGUCUACUUUAUAGACUUAUGCAAUUAUAUAUCCAAUCAAAUUUCCAUGAAAAUAGCAUUUCCCUAUCACAUUAGUAAAAUGCUUUCGAAUUAAUCCUUGCUACAUCCUUAUAAAAUUACCACCAUCCUGGGUAUUGAAAAAUGGUUACAUUCGUACUUAAAUAGCCUGGUGCUCACAUCUUUUCCCAUUUUAAAACAAAUAUUCUCUUGCAUAUCUUGUUUAUUUUUUGCCAUGAUUUUAUCAAUAUGAGCACCCUCAAUGUCGUCAUCAUCCUUGGUCAAGUCAAUUUCUUCUUCACGAUUCUUUGUUUCGUCUUUCAGCUUAAGUUUGAGAGGCAAUUUAUUAUCAAGCGUUGUUAUAUGUAUUCUCCCUUAAUAACUAUUAAAGAGCUAUCAGCAAUAGGCUUCUCAUUCUGGAGAAAGACUCUUCAAAUGGUUUGCUAAUCUGAAAAAUUGAGCAUUCUCCCUAACUAACAGUUACAGACACUUUUCUACCAAUUUGGCUGCCAGUUGACAGUUUGCUAAUCUUUUGCCAACCACACUCAAGUUUUCAUUUUGGAAUUCUCCCUUUAGUCAUGUGGUCUGUGCAAAAAAAAACUCUUGAAAUGGUUUAUUUAGAUAUUGUUGACCGUAGAGUAUCUGCAUUCAAAUUUUGUUCUGCAUCGAGACCUUGAAGUACGUUUAUGAAUACUGCUUUAUUAAUUUAUUUAUGUUUCUUGGAAAAUGGUUUUAUGAAUUGAUUUUCUGGUGAAGUUAAAUAGUACUUGAGAAGGCUAGAUUAUUUUUUCUUGCCAGACUUUGAUAAUACUUAAAUAAUUAAAUUGUCAAACUUGAGUGUAAGAUCUUUUGGAAAAUUAUGCGGUCUAUUUUUCUUGCCUAGGUAGUUGGAACUCCCAAUUACAUGUGAACUUAUAAAUGUUGCUUGUGAUUUUGAAUUUAAAAACUUAGUCCCUUGAUAUGUCUAUCAUAUAACGUUGCUACAUAAUUUAGUCUCUUCCAUUUUACUUAGCCUAUCGUUUCUUUCACAUAUGUCUAUUAAAAUCUAAUUGCCGUUCUUGCAGAUUUUCCCCAAGGCAGUAUUGACUUUGGUACAUUUUGCCACCAUAUUUACUAUCGCCCUCUCUGAAUUCAUUAGCAUUUAAUGAAUUACGCAUGUUUAAAAUGUGACAAAUCAGUGAUAUGUACAUUUAUACUGAAUAUAUUAUGAUCUAUGUAAGAAGGUUCAACUUUACCACAUGUUUUUCUUUGUGAAACCAUAUGUACC